AGCGAACGCUGGCGGCAGGCUUAACACAUGCAAGUCGAGCGGGCAUCCUUGUGGUGUCAGCGGCAGACGGGUGAGUAACGCGUGGGAACGUGCCCUUCGGUUCGGAAUAACUCAGGGAAACUUGAGCUAAUACCGGAUACGCCCUCUUGGGGAAAGGUUUACUGCCGAAGGAUCGGCCCGCGUCUGAUUAGCUAGUUGGUGAGGUUAUGGCUCACCGAGGCGACGAUCAGUAGCUGGUCUGAGAGGAUGAUCAGCCACACUGGGACUGAGACACGGCCCAGACUCCUACGGGAGGCAGCAGUGGGGAAUAUUGGACAAUGGGGGCAACCCUGAUCCAGCCAUGCCGCGUGAGUGAUGACGGCCUUAGGGUUGUAAAGCCCUUUUCUCCGGGACGAUAAUGACGGUACCGGAGGAAUAAGCCCCGGCUAACUUCGUG
RNAcentral lists this ribosomal RNA (436 nucleotides) under uncultured bacterium. RNAcentral describes it as "partial 16S ribosomal RNA". It matches the Rfam family "Bacterial small subunit ribosomal RNA", at positions 29 to 507 of the family's 1533-position model. The record is from RNAcentral.